AACUCUUGCAGGUUCUUCUUUGUUUGCGCAGGUUCUUUUGGUCCAAGGGUGAGAAGAAAGGAUUCAGACAAAGAGCAGCCAUGAGGACUCGCCGGCAUCCUGUCGCUGUAUAUGAUGGUGUUGAGACGAUGAGCUACAGUGAGCGCGGUGCAUUCUCUGAACUUGUCCCGGAUGGUUCU
Molecule: long non-coding RNA, 179 nt
Organism: Sebastes umbrosus (honeycomb rockfish)
Lineage: Eukaryota; Metazoa; Chordata; Actinopteri; Perciformes; Sebastidae
Exons: 3
Source: RefSeq, a predicted model, not a curated record